CAACUACCCAUGGAAAAAGAUAAAAGAAGAUCUUUUCAAGCAAAAAUAAAUGUGUGUAGGGUAAGUGUAUCAUCGGUGUGGAAUACUUAGCAAAACUUUUGACCUUCAGUCCUGAUGAAUUUGAAACACAAAGAAGGCUUUGAAAUGCUGCAAAUUGGGCUUAGCUGACAUUUAAACAUCAAUUCUGAAUGUGUCCACACCCAAAUAUUGAUGCAUCAGAUGUAAGACUAUUGAUUUUUUCAACAGCAUGUUUCAGCCAUCUGCUUUCCUUUGCCUAGUUUUAUUUCUGUCAGUUCUUGCAAUGAAUUGACUUUGGUUGGGGGUUCACAUACAAUAAAAUCUCUCAUCUAAAACAAAAAUAGACAAAAUAACUGCAUUUGCCUGCAACUGAUGCCCAGACCUUGUGCCAUCAUGUGGCUAGCUCUGCUCGCCCAGCCCCUACUAGCAGGAAUAAAACAGAUGUUGCCCAUGAAACCAUUGCAUGGAGGGCCUGCACCCUGAAGGAGAGCUAGGCUCCAACCCAUAAAUUCCUGGGAUUCUGGGAUGCCUGCUUUUGUGCAUUCAGGCUCCUUGGAGUAAUACCAAUGCUCAAGCCAUAUGUUUAGCCUGGGCUUUGGUCCACACAAUUCCCCAAGCCAUAAUUUUGGAGAGACCGCUCUUCCUUACUCCUGUGCCAAGGCAAGCAGAAUACCUUAAAGCACCUUGGCUCACACUCACCUGACGUCAUCGGAAAAUAAAAAUUCUUCUGGGCUGGCACAUCUAUGAGUUUGAUCAAAAUGCCCUUCUUACCCUCACCCGGCUGUUAGAUCCCUCCCCUCAGGCUGGCUUUCUGUGUCACUCACUCUUCUUCCAUGUGUGGUGGCUGCAGGGGGGGGGGCUCAGGAGUAGCCAUCUCUCUUCAUCUCUUGGCCCCCGUGAUGGAGGAUUUCAGUGCAGAAGACAGAGGCUGCCAAGAACAAGCUGAGGACUCAACUUGAAUGAAGCUCAGGCUCAGAUGCAGCCAGAUGCAUUUCUGCUCACACCAGAGAACACAGGGCACAGUCUCCCUAAAUCCUAACUGUAGGUACCUGUCAUGCAAAGGAAAAAUAAACUCAUGGAUGAUUAUUUAAAACUCCUUUAAUUAAACAGGUACAAAAUAAAAUAAAAUAAAUAAAAUAAAUAAAAUAAAUA
This 1170-nucleotide long non-coding RNA is filed under the name Anser brachyrhynchus (Pink-footed goose). RNAcentral describes it as "lncRNA (ENSABRG00000015857.1)". Lineage: Eukaryota; Metazoa; Chordata; Aves; Anseriformes; Anatidae. The record is from RNAcentral.